Ornithorhynchus anatinus (platypus) is the source of this 549-nucleotide long non-coding RNA. RefSeq lists it as uncharacterized. The transcript is spliced from 3 exons. The record is from RefSeq and is a predicted model, not a curated record. NCBI's taxonomy places the organism in Eukaryota, Metazoa, Chordata, Mammalia, Monotremata, Ornithorhynchidae.
UGCCUUUCUCGCCGACCUCCCUGCCUCCAGCCUCUCUCCGCUCUAGUUCGUAUUUCACUCCCUCGUCCGCGUCAUUUCUCUAAAAAAAAUUGUUCGGCACACGUCUCCCCGCUCAUCGAAAGAAGGGAAAACAAAUAGGGUGGGAAAUGAGAGCUUAGUCAGAGAAGGCUUCUUGGAGAAUUUAUGAUUUUCGUGGGGCUUUGAAGAUGGGGAGAGAAGAGGUCUGUCAGAAAUCAAGCGUGAGGGAGUCUCGGCUAGAGGGAGGAUGUGAGGAAGGAGUUAACGGUGAGACAGAGGAGAACCAGGUGCAGAGAGGAGAUUGGUAUUAGAGGAGCAGAGUGGGUGGGCCGGAUUGGAGUAGACGAGCCCGAUUAGGUAGCAGGAGAGGGAGAGGUGAUUGAGCGCCUUACAGCCAACGGAAAACGAUCCAGGCGGCAGAGUGAAGAAUGGAAGACGCUAGAGGCGGGGAGAUCAGAGAGGAAUCGGCGCCGAGCACUUGGGGGAAGAUGAGGUAACAGAGGCCCAGUGAAGUGGCUGGCCCAGAGCCAC